RNAcentral lists this small nuclear RNA (109 nucleotides) under Schistosoma margrebowiei. Lineage: Eukaryota; Metazoa; Platyhelminthes; Trematoda; Strigeidida; Schistosomatidae. The record is from RNAcentral.
GUACUUGCUUCGGGGGUACAUAUACUAAAAAAUUGGAACGAUACAGAGAAGAUUAGCAGGGCCCCUGCGCGAGGAUGACACGCAAAAUCAUGAAGCGUUCCAUAUUUUU